This 337-nucleotide unclassified non-coding RNA is filed under the name soil metagenome. RNAcentral's name for it is "partial contains 5.8S ribosomal RNA, internal transcribed spacer 2, and large subunit ribosomal RNA". The stretch from base 1 to 120 matches the Rfam family "5.8S ribosomal RNA", at positions 35 to 154 of the family's 154-position model. The record is from RNAcentral.
GAUGAAGAACGCAGCGAAAUGCGAUAAGUAGUGUGAAUUGCAGAAUUCAGUGAAUCAUCGAAUCUUUGAACGCACAUUGCGCCCCUUGGUAUUCCAUGGGGCAUGCCUGUUCGAGCGUCAUUUGUACCUUCAAGCUCUGCUUGGUGUUGGGUGUUUGUCUCGCCUCUGCGUGUAGACUCGCCUCAAAACAAUUGGCAGCCGGCGUAUUGAUUUCGGAGCGCAGUACAUCUCGCGCUUUGCACUCAUAACGACGACGUCCAAAAGUACAUUUUUACACUCUUGACCUCGGAUCAGGUAGGGAUACCCGCUGAACUUAAGCAUAUCAAUAAGAGGAGGA